AACGAACGCUGGCGGCAGGCCUAACACAUGCAAGUCGAGCGGACCCUUCGGGGUUAGCGGCGGACGGGUGAGUAACGCGUGGGAAUAUGCCCUUCUCUACGGAAUAGUUCUGGGAAACUGGGGGUAAUACCGUAUACGCUCUUUGGGGGAAAGAUUUAUCGGGGAAGGAUUAGUCCGUGUUGGAUUAGGUAGUUGGUGAGGUAAUGGCCUACCAAGCCGACGAUCCAUAGCUGGUUUGAGAGGAUGAUCAGCCACACUGGGACUGAGACACGGCCCAGACUCCUACAGGAGGCAGCAGUGAAGAAUCUUAGACAAUAGGGGCAACCCUGAUCUAGCCAUGCCGCGUGAGUGAUGAAGGCCUUAGGGUUGUAAAGCUCUUUCAGCUGAGAAGAUAAUGGCGGUACCAGCAGAAGAAGCCAGGGCUAACUCCGUG
This 433-nucleotide ribosomal RNA is filed under the name uncultured bacterium. Its description in RNAcentral is "partial 16S ribosomal RNA". It matches the Rfam family "Bacterial small subunit ribosomal RNA", at positions 29 to 507 of the family's 1533-position model. The record is from RNAcentral.